GCGAUCUUCAUGCUGUUGUCUUUUGUCGAUCACAGUAACAGACGUCUCUUGAACUCGCAAUUUACUUAGGCAUGUACUAUUAGGCGAGGAAUUUAACCACAUCAAACUCAAUUCGUCUUAGGAAAAGAAAUCUAUCAGAGCUUGAGAAGGAGACAUUAUAUUGAUCAUAAUUGCUAGAAAUUCAAUCAAAACCACAUACGAGAUAAUGGGUUUCAAAAUAAACUUGUUAUUCAUACUUGUUGUCUUUAACAUGUUUAACAUGGGAUACCUAUGUUGUUCAAAAUCAAUUCCGUCAUCUGCAGUGUGUAACCUCACGUAUGAGAGAGGUCCUUGCAUUGCGACCAUUUGCAGACCAAAUACCGUAGUUUACAAGAAAUAUUAUUAUUCGAACGAAUUGAAAGAUUGUCAAUACCAUUACCCGUCCGACGACUGCGGAGGAAAUGGAAAUAAUUUCGAAACUUAUGCAGACUGCAUAUCAACAUGCAAUCCAAUAUACUUUCGACACCGUAACAAUGGCAAAUAUUUUAAAUCUAUUGAGGAAAAAAAAAUUCUUUGAAACAUAACAUUUUUGAAGGUUUCCCAUGUAUUGAUAUGUAUAUGUCAUAGUUUGAUAUUGAGUUUAAAUUGAAGUAAUAAAGGAAAGACUCUGCGAAGUCUUUAUAAAAUACUUGUAAAAGUCUUUAGUUUUUACAAUAAAUGACUGUGAAAAAAUGGAUUGUACGGAUAUGUAUAUGAAAUAUGUAGAAAUAUAUAUGUAAAUAACGGAAA
Molecule: non-coding RNA, 768 nt
Organism: Linepithema humile (Argentine ant)
Lineage: Eukaryota; Metazoa; Arthropoda; Insecta; Hymenoptera; Formicidae
Source: RefSeq, a predicted model, not a curated record